AACCUUUACACUGCACGCCAGUGCGAUAGGGGGACACCGAGUGCGAGGGCAUAGAGCCCUCGCUUUUGUAGACCGUAAGGAGGUCUACGAAUAAGGGCUGGGCAAGACCGGUGCCAGCCGCCGCGGUAACACCGGCAGCCCGAGUGAUGGCCGAUAUUAUUGGGCCUAAAGCGUCCGUAGCUGGCCGCACAAGUCCGUCGGGAAAUCCACUCGCUUAACGAGUGGGCGUCCGGCGGAAACUGUGCGGCUUGGGACCGGAAGAUCCGAGGGGUACGUCCGGGGUAGGAGUGAAAUCCCGUAAUCCUGGACGGACCACCGAUGGCGAAAGCACCUCGGAAGGACGGAUCCGACAGUGAGGGACGAAAGCUAGGGUCUCGAACCGGAUUAGAUACCCGGGUAGUCCUAGCCGUAAACGAUGCUCGCUAGGUGUGGCACAGGCUACGAGCCUGUGCUGUGCCGUAGGGAAGCCGUGAAGCGAGCCGCCUGGGAAGUACGUCUGCAAGGAUGAAACUUAA
This 515-nucleotide ribosomal RNA is filed under the name uncultured archaeon. RNAcentral's name for it is "bacterial SSU rRNA". It matches the Rfam family "Archaeal small subunit ribosomal RNA", at positions 345 to 859 of the family's 1478-position model. The record is from RNAcentral.